UAGAGUAGAAAAGACGCGUUAAGUGUUGCAAAACGGGAUGUUGUUUGCAAACGAAAGGAUUUUCCUGCGGUGUCUUUUCGCGUCCGCUA
RNAcentral lists this non-coding RNA (89 nucleotides) under bovine gut metagenome. Its description in RNAcentral is "THF riboswitch". It matches the Rfam family "THF (Tetrahydrofolate) riboswitch aptamer". From Rfam's summary of the family: THF riboswitch presents a pseudoknot that joins P1-P2 and the loop of P3 and two THF binding. The record is from RNAcentral.